This 468-nucleotide ribosomal RNA is filed under the name uncultured bacterium. RNAcentral's name for it is "partial 16S ribosomal RNA". It matches the Rfam family "Bacterial small subunit ribosomal RNA", at positions 28 to 507 of the family's 1533-position model. The record is from RNAcentral.
GACGAACGCUGGCGGCGUGCUUAACACAUGCAAGUCGAACGGAAAGGCCCUGCUUUUGUGGGGUGCUCGAGUGGCGAACGGGUGAGUAACACGUGAGUAACCUGCCCUUGACUUUGGGAUAACUUCAGGAAACUGGGGCUAAUACCGGAUAGGAGCUCCUGCUGCAUGGUGGGGGUUGGAAAGUUUCGGCGGUUGGGGAUGGACUCGCGGCUUAUCAGCUUGUUGGUGGGGUAGUGGCUUACCAAGGCUUUGACGGGUAGCCGGCCUGAGAGGGUGACCGGCCACAUUGGGACUGAGAUACGGCCCAGACUCCUACGGGAGGCAGCAGUGGGGAAUAUGGCACAAUGGGAGGAAGCCUGAUGCAGCAACGCCGCGUGCGGGAUGACGGCCUUCGGGUUGUAAACCGCUUUCGCCUGUGACGAAGCGUGAGUGACGGUAAUGGGUAAAGAAGCACCGGCUAACUACGUG